Long non-coding RNA from Malus domestica (apple), 1001 nucleotides. RefSeq lists it as uncharacterized. The record is from RefSeq and is a predicted model, not a curated record. Lineage: Eukaryota; Viridiplantae; Streptophyta; Magnoliopsida; Rosales; Rosaceae.
CAAGUCUUUUCCUCGCUAUUCAAUAAAGCAGUUUCUGUACAGUCUAUUAUAUCUUUAAUUUAGAAUACCUUAUUUAAUUUGCAGGUGCAACCCAAGCUCUUCUACAAGGCUGUCUCACUUUUGGGGCAUUCUCAUUUGUUAUUAAAGGCCUAAACAAGCAGCAGUCGGCUUUAGCUCAACCAUUUUCUGUGAGGAAGAAAAGUGAGCAAGUUCGAAGUUCGUACCUUGGUGCUCACCCUUCAACUUUCACUCUUAGGAGAACUAAAAGCGGGUUUCACCUUCUUUUGCAAUUCCUUGAAGAAUCGCAAGAAGGGCACUUCUCACCCAGCCUAAAAAAGGUUGUUCCAGAAAGGUGGCACAGCUUGGACCUCUUUAUGAGAAUUUAGGGUUUUUGCUUGCUAGACAAUGAUAGGCGAAUCAUUGCAAGUAGCAGUAAUUAUGCUGCAAACUGAAUCCAGGAUGACUAACCUGGAGUCUUCAUGGUGGUCGCACUUCUCCUCCUCUCUGUUCCUUCUCCAAAACCCCUCUGUCGGCAGCGAACAGGUUGAUCACAUCUUGAGUUUUCCAACUGAUUUAUUCAAUCCUAUUGGUUCUGAUUAUGUCCCUCCAUAACAUUUGCAGCACCAUCUGCCUUGCUCUCAUCAUAGCUAGGCUUUCAAUUCCUCAGGGGGAAUGGUGGAUGUGAGAGUUUCUUUUACAGCAAUUCAAAGGGAAGAGCUUGAGAGACAAUGGACUCUUCCCCUAUUCCUCCACAUUCACUUUUACCAAUUUCCAAGAACACAUUAAAUCCCUCAAAAUAUAAGCCGAGGUAUGGAAAAGCUUCGAAUUCCUUGGUUUCCUCCAAUUAGUAUGCAUAGCUCUCAAAAAAGAAAGAAGUGAGGGUUGAAUGUCUACCCUCGAAUAUACAUAGACAGAUAUGGAAAAAAAAUUAGAAUGGUGAAGUGAGGGUUCAAUGACUUAUUACUCAUUUGGUUCUAUUUAAAUAAAGUUCGCUGAUUGGG